This 282-nucleotide ribosomal RNA is filed under the name uncultured bacterium. RNAcentral describes it as "partial 16S ribosomal RNA". It matches the Rfam family "Bacterial small subunit ribosomal RNA", at positions 333 to 633 of the family's 1533-position model. The record is from RNAcentral.
CGGUACCUACGGGGGGCAGCAGUGGGGAAUAUUGCACAAUGGGCGAAAGCCUGAUGCAGCAACGCGGCGUGAGCGAUGAAGGCCUUCGGGUCGUAAAGCUCUGUCCUCAAGGAAGAUAAUGACGGUACUUGAGGAGGAAGCCCCGGCUAACUACGUGCCAGCAGCCGCGGUAAUACGUAGGGGGCUAGCGUUAUCCGGAAUUACUGGGCGUAAAGGGGGCGAAGGGGGUUUCUUAAGUCAGAGGUGAAAGGCUACGGCUCAACCGUAGUAAGCCUUUGAAAC